UACGUAGGGUGCGAGCGUUGUCCGGAAUUACUGGGCGUAAAGAGCUCGUAGGUGGUUUGUCGCGUUGUUCGUGAAAACCGGGGGCUUAACCCUCGGCGUGCGGGCGAUACGGGCAGACUUGAGUACUGCAGGGGAGACUGGAAUUCCUGGUGUAGCGGUGGAAUGCGCAGAUAUCAGGAGGAACACCGGUGGCGAAGGCGGGUCUCUGGGCAGUAACUGACGCUGAGGCACGAAGGCCAGGGGAGCAAACGGG
This 253-nucleotide ribosomal RNA is filed under the name uncultured bacterium. RNAcentral describes it as "partial 16S ribosomal RNA". It matches the Rfam family "Bacterial small subunit ribosomal RNA", at positions 524 to 776 of the family's 1533-position model. The record is from RNAcentral.